GAUCCCAUCCAGCUGGUCGUCUUCCUGCCUGCCCUGUGCUGGAAGACGGGGGUGCCCCGCUGCGUUAUCAAGGGGAAGGCCGGGCCGAGGAGUCUGGCCCACAGAAAGAUCUGCACCACUGUCACCUUCACACAACUUAACUCAGAAGGUGAUGGAGCUCUGGCUAAGCUGGUGGAAGCCAUCAAGACCAAUUACAGGGACAGUGAUCUAAUUGCCAGGAUCUGUUCCGGGUAACCUGGUAUUUAAUCAAAAAUGCUAUUUUUGAAACAAAGAAUUCCCAAGUCUCCAGACUUAAGCAACUUCAGACCAGGCUUCAGACUUCUGAAAUGGCAUCCCAUACUCGCUUAAGACACUCUUCUUAUCAGCCUUUGAAGAAGAACUAAGUGGCCAUGUUGGGAAGUUCGCAUGGGAAGAAGAUGACAGUGGUCUCUAGGAAAUGACGGCAUCCUCCAGCUGACAGUCAUCAAGAAGUUUAUACUCUCAGCCCUACAGCCACAAAGUAAUGAAUUCUGGCAACAAAACUGAGUGAACUUCAAAGUGGAUGCUUCCUAGUCAAGCCUUCAGAUUAGCACUAAUCUAACAUCUACCAGCAAUCCUCCUCUUUUUGCUGAGGAAGACUGGUCCUGAGGUAAUAUCCAUGUCCAUCUUCCUCUACUUUAUAUGUGGGAUGCUUGCCACAGCAUGGCUUGCCAAGGGCUGCCUAGGUCCGCACCCGGGAUCUGAACCAGCGAACCCCAGGCUGCUGAAGCAGAACAUGCGAGCUUAAUUGCUGCACCCCUGACCAUUUUUUCAUUGGAUUUUCUUUUUUGCUAUUGAAUUGUAUGACUUGUUUAUAUAUUUUAGAUAUUAAUUCCUUAUCAGAUACAUGUUUUUGCAAAUAUUUUCUCCCAUUCUAUAGGUUUCUUUCUCAUUUUUUAGAUGAUUUCCUUCACUGUGCAGAGCUUUUUAGUUUGAUGUAGUCCCACUUGUUUAUUUUUCUUUUGUUGCUUUGCUUUGGUGUCAAAUCCAAAAAAAUCACUGCCAAGACCAAUGUGAGCUAACUGCUUCUGUUUUCUUCUGGGCAUUUUAUGGUUUCAAAUCUUACAUUUCAAGUCCUUAGUCCAUUUUGAGUUGAUUUGGGAGUAUAGUAUAAGACAGUGGUCCAGUUUCAUUCUUUUGCAUAUGGCUUUCUAGUUUCCCAGAACCAUUUAUUGAAGAGACUGUCCUUUCCCCAUUACAUAUUGUUGGCUCUUUUGUAGUAAAUUAGUUGACCGUAUAUGUGUGGAUUUAUUUCUGGGCUCUCUAUUCUGUUCCAUUGAUCUAUGUGUCUGUUUUUACAUCAAUACUAUACCAUUUUCAUUACUGUAGAUUUGUAGUAUAUCUUGAAAUCAGGAAGACUGAUGCUCCAGCACUGAUCUUCUUUCUCAAGAUCUCUUUGGCUAUCUGGAGUCUUCUCUGUUUUUAUAUAAAUUUUAUGGUUGCUUGCUCUAUUUCUACAUAAAUUGCCGUUGGAAUUUUAUUACCUGUUAAAUGGGGAUAAAAUACAUUUUCUAUCUAAUUGUUAGGAUUAUUAUAAAUAUCAGAGUAAAUAUUAUAUAAUUUCAGU
Long non-coding RNA from Equus caballus (horse), 1585 nucleotides. Lineage: Eukaryota; Metazoa; Chordata; Mammalia; Perissodactyla; Equidae. The record is from Ensembl.